RNAcentral lists this long non-coding RNA (1225 nucleotides) under Cricetulus griseus (Chinese hamster). RNAcentral describes it as "lncRNA (ENSCGRG00015032190.1)". The record is from RNAcentral. Lineage: Eukaryota; Metazoa; Chordata; Mammalia; Rodentia; Cricetidae.
CUGCGUUUGUGCUUUCGGUUUCUCUUUGCUGCUUGCUGUACAGACCGAUACCACGCUGGCUGGCUAGGUUGCUCUGCUUCUCUGUAUGGGCUAGUUGGAGUUUCCAAACAGCUUGGUGGACUGAGAAUUGUCACACUGUGCACAAGGCAGGGUACAACUCUUGCACAGUUGUAGCCAGAGAACCAACUAAAGGUACCCAUAUUCUACCAUGAGCCUUGGGAAUUGCCCAGCAUUACUUCUUCAGUGUACGCUGGAACAACUGUAAACCUGCCCAAUUUCAAUGGGAAGGAAUGUGGAUUCCAACUCUCAAAGGUAUAGCUCCUUGAUGCAGAGGCCCCAUUUGUCCUUCUAUGUGAGCCCCUGAACUGCUGCCACCUCCAAAUGAAGGACACAGACAUGCAGGAGAGGGAUAUGGCUUCCAAGUUCCCUAGCUCCCAGCCUGCCUGCCUCACUGAAGACAGAUGAAGAAGCAGAUGUAGGCUAGGAGGGCCCUCAACUCCCCUGGGGCACAUCUGAAACUGAAAAGCAUCUUCCAGCUUCCACUGGACAUUAAGGGACCCAUUUUCCUGGCAAGCCUCCUGAAAGCAUGCAAAGAUCUACACCCAGAUGAUGGUGCUGCUCAUUCUUAAGAUGGGACUUCCCACGUCACCUAACGAAAUCAAGACAGUCUCCCACAGACACGCCCACUGGCCAACCUAAUACAGACAAUCCCUCAUUGAGACUCUUCCCAGGUGAUUGACAGUUAAACCUAACUCACUUUCAUAUCACUCAUUACACAGUAAUGCUGCCUGACUCAACUGUGUCUAACUCAUACACCAGUUGCCACCUGUGUCUGUUUCUUAUCAGAGUCUACAGUGUGGGAGCUCUCUGAGAGAGGAGCAGAGCUAGUAGAAGGAAUGCUCAGAGUUAAUGGGAACUUUGGCACCAAAUUUAAGUAAUCUUAGGUUUUCCUUACCAAGUAGAUGAGGAAUGUUUUUUACCAGAACUUUAUCAUAGUCAUAUAACAAAGUUUCCAUGAUUAAUAUUUGGACUCUAUAUGUAUGUGCUGAAGAAGCAGGAUGAUAGAAGGGAAAUUUCAACACAAUAAAUUCAUUAUUUACUAUACAUUUAAUAAAAAUUAAGGUAGUGCUCUUUGGGAAGAGUAUUAAAUAAAAAAUUUUCCAGGAGUUCCGUCUGGUGUUUUGUGAUAAGGUUUAACUAUGUAGCCCAGGCUGGCCUUGAACUC